Non-coding RNA from Cinara cedri, 1009 nucleotides. NCBI's taxonomy places the organism in Eukaryota, Metazoa, Arthropoda, Insecta, Hemiptera, Aphididae. The record is from the annotation of a GenBank genome assembly.
AGGAAAAAUAAAUAAAUACUUAUCUAUGAUUAUGCAGAGAACUGCUAUGAACCAAUAUCCCUAUGAUUUCAGUCACAGUGAUAAUCACGAUUUAAGAUAGUAAUAUCUAAAAUCGUAGUGGUCACUUAAGGUUUAUAGAUAAUAGAGGUUGCCUCACCGUCAAAUUUAUGAAAAAUAAGCACUGAGGAAAAUCCGACAAUGACGUCACUGCAGUACACGGUACAUGCCGCCAUAAUAAGUUGUGGUACUAUUCUUCGUAUUUUUUACAAUUUCAACUGUGUUUUUAAUAUUAUUAUAUUGAAUUGUCAAAUCAUGAAUACGAAAGGAGGUUCAAAUUGUGCAACAUGCAAUUCUUAUUCUGGCAAAAUAAAAAAAGCUGGAAGGACUGAUGUAUCAUUUCACAGGUAUAAAUUAUAAUGAUUUCAUACGUCUUGUGAUGUACUGAUAUCAUCUUGUAAAUAGAGUUAUAGAGAUGAAUUCAGUUUUCCAUUUAAUUUACUAUUUUUUAAGUUGACUUUACCGUAAUUUAAAGGUUUCCAAAGGACCCCAAAAGUUAAAAAGUUCUUCAAAAGUUAUGGAUUCAAAAAUGUAAACGAGGAGACAUUUUGAAUCCUAGUACAUCAUAUGUGUUCAGAACAUUUCAAUUCUGAUGACUUUCUUCGUGAUUUAAAAGCUGAACUCUUAGACCAAAAACCUGUCAGGAGACUGAAACCAGAUGUAGUACCUACAGAAAACUAAAAUAAACUAAAAUCAAAAUCAACAAAUUCUAGUUGUAAAAAUGAAAGCUAAAUUACAAUUACAAAAACUUCAAAAGCUAAGAAAAUAUAACUUAAAAAUAUAACUUUUGACUUGUUUAUUAAGUAGGUAUUAAAUAAAAAUAAUUGCAUAUUUUUAUAUAUUUUGUAUUUAUGGAGUGUUUUUAUUACUAAAAUAUUUAUUAUUCAAAUUUAUUUUUAUUUUAGGAAUCAUUUAAAUAAAUACAUUGGGAAAUAUAGAGUAUAGAACAGGU